RNAcentral lists this long non-coding RNA (2027 nucleotides) under Rattus norvegicus (Norway rat). RNAcentral describes it as "long non-coding RNA NONRATT022993". Lineage: Eukaryota; Metazoa; Chordata; Mammalia; Rodentia; Muridae. The record is from RNAcentral.
GCAGUUUUUCCGUUAAUAUUCUAAGCCAGCAAGCCGAUCUUCUCAUGAUGAGUGGUCUUGGAUGAAACUUGUCAUGAAGCACCGGGCAGCUGCAGACCUCUCCUGCCAGCCCAAGCCACACCCUCCCCUCUUCCUUUUUUUUUCUUUAAGUCCCUGGGGUCAUGGGCCAGAGCUGUUGUAGUGGAGUUACCUGUUUACAGAAGAGCUGCACUGAAGUAUUUUUGUUGUUGCAACUUUUUCUUAAACAUAAAUAUGUUUAAUGUUAAUAAUGUUGCUUUUAAACUGAACUCAUUUUUCCAGUUCAGGAUUAGUGUAUUCUGAUAGUAAAUAUUUUUUAAUCAAAUAUGGAAACACAAUAAAUGAAGGGAAUAGUAUGUUCCAUUUUCUAUCAUAAUGAGAUGUCUUAAAAGGCAUUUCCCUUCAUGUACACCUAGAAUUGCCCUCUCUUUGUUUUAGAACAGUAGACUUGAACUAGCACCUAAGAAGGAUAUAUUUGAGAGAAGAUAGAAAAACUAAGGUUUUUUUCAGGUUUUCAAUGUCUAAACUAUUUUUGUUCUAAUACUGUCCUUUCAAACAGGCGCUUUUUGGUACGAUGUGGAUUGACUGCUCAUUAAACUGGUUGCACAUCAUACUCCUUUGCAAGCCAAUCCAGACCAAGAGAUGUAAUACCUUUUUUUUAGAAAAUCAAAUUGACAUCACAGGGUAGGAAGACAGAUUUUCCUACUUUAUACUUAAGUCAAAUACAGAUGUAUAGAAUUUGAGUAAGAUCCAAUGUGAUUAAUGAAUAAGUCACCUACCUGUGAAUGGGCCAUCUUAGAUUAGGGCAGUAUGCCAGUAAUUUCCUCAGAAUGACUUUCAAUGUACCUAUCAGUGAGUGCUAAAUUUAAGUCUUGUGUAACUCUUGUGUCAUUCCAUUGUUUUUCCUUAUAGUAACAGACACAAAAUAAGAUAGUCUAUUUCUAGUCAACUUUUAAUGUUUGGUAGAUCCUCCAUGGUGGGUGCCGUGGAGUCAGUUUAUUUCUCUCCACCCCCAUUGUGGUCCCUCUUUAGCAGGCUUUCCUAGUCCUACAGGGGUAAAGUUAGUUGGGAGAAAGGCUUCUAGUUCUGUGAAAAGAUGCAGAGCUGUAACGGGCUGGCCUACAGGUACCCUAUGUAUGUUACCUGCUACCUGACUUGUCUCUUUUGCCUUCUGUAGAUGAUGAGGGUUCACUGGUUGAUCCUGACGACAUCAUGAGACACUUGGGUGAUGAUGGACGCAACUCUGUGGCAACUGAGCCCUGGCUCCGCCCUGGCACUUCCGAAACUCUGAAACGGUUCAUGGCAGAGCAGCUGAAUGAGGGACAGCAGCAGGUUCCUGGGAAACCAGGCACUUUUCCUUGGCAGGGACUAUCUGCUGCACAUGCUUAAAAUAAACCCUCUCUGGAUCCAGCAGUGCCUUUUACAGUGGAAGGAACGUUCAGUCGUAUCUUGAAUACUGUGUCUUACUUGUGGCCCUAUACUUUAAUAUUAGUUAUUUAUGUUCUAUCUAUAUAGCAAGUGACUUUUCCCGUGAUAUAUUUUAUAUAUAAUGUACAUAAAAGCCCUGAUUCUUGAUUUUUAAUACAAUGUAUAGAAUUAUUUUUGCAAUUUAGCUAUGGGUGGUAAUGAACUCUUGAUUGAGCUACCACAUGUGCAUUAAAAUGAGCUUGCCAUAAGAGGUGGUGAAUUAAAGUGAGACAGUACACUGUCCCAGCAUCCUCCACUGUCAGCGCUGUGGUGAGACAAGUCCUGGUGAAGACCUGCUGUAGCUCACUGUGCCGGCUGCCGGGUACGGCAGGGUCCAGGCCAAGCUGCUGAGCACUCUCGUCUGCAGGACAUUUCCCAUGGGAGCGAAGGGUUCGAGACCAUCGUGAGCCACAAUACAUGUUACGUUGUUCUGUCUCCAUUUCAUUCUUAUGCUGAUAGAAGCACACACUCACUCAGUUAUUAAUUUAUCUCAUUUCACUAUUUCUUGACACAAAUAAAGUUCUAUUUUUAUUAACUGCCAA